This 2898-nucleotide unclassified non-coding RNA is filed under the name Hevea brasiliensis (rubber tree). The record is from RNAcentral. Lineage: Eukaryota; Viridiplantae; Streptophyta; Magnoliopsida; Malpighiales; Euphorbiaceae.
ACAGGGGACAUAUAUUUGUAAGAAGGGUUCUCUCAACUUAUCAAAACAGCACCAGGGGACGACUAAUGAAUCAAAGCAUAAACCUACAUGUCUCUUCCAAAUUGAAUAAGAAACAAUUCAAUUAGAGGGAUACAAGAAUACCUGGCUGUGGAGAUUUUGAAUUGAGAUAUAUAUGUAGGAAUUUCUGAAUCUGUGUUGAACUUCUUUUCAAUUCAGAGCUCUAAAAAUUGAGGCAAAUCUGUAAAAGAGAGGAAGGUAGCUGGAAGAUUGGAUGAAAGUUCCCACAUUUGAGUUCAAAUCCCGGUGAGACCCAAAAAAAAAAAAAAAAUGGAAGGUGAAGAUAUCAAUUGCAAUUCAAUAAGCAUAACUGUGAAGUUCAGCGGACGAUCCAUACCAAUCUCUGUUUCUCUGGACUCAACGAUCAAAGACUUCAAAUCUCUUCUUCAACCUCUCACCAAUGUUCUUCCUCGUGGCCAAAAGCUCAUCUUCAAAGGAAAGUUGUUGGUGGACUCCAUGACUUUGAAGGAAUCGGAGGUCACAAAUGGGGCUAAGGUCAUGCUCAUGUCCUCCCAGGGAUUGCAUCAAGGGGAUGGUCCCAUUUUAAAAGAUGCUAAAACCCGUCCCAUCUCAAGGGCUAAUCUUGCUAACAAAAUGGUGAAUCAAAAGACUGAAUUUUCUAUAGAUAAGAACUGUUUGGAUCGAUGGAAAGUCACAGGAGUUAUUGCUUUGGCUGAAUGCAACUUGAAGGUACAAAACUCUAUCAUUACUAUAAUACAUCCAGUGCACAUGUUUCAAGUUUCUUGUUUUCUUGAUGUUAUUGUGCUGUUCAUGGUAUAAGCACCAUGUCUUGCAGAAUUUUCCCCCUUUUUUCACUUCUUUUUAAAAUUAGAUAUUGUCCAUACAAACUCUUGCAUUCAUGUCCGCUGGGGCAAUUAAUGUCAUCUAUUUGUUCUUGUUUAUUGGAACUUGCAAGGUGCUACCUGAUCAAGUGUGGGCUUGUGGACCUUCUACAAGAGUCCUUGACAUCAGCAACAAUUUGAUUCAAGAUUUACCAACCAAAAUUGGCUGUAUGAGUUCUCUGCAGAAACUGUUCCUGAAUGGAAAUAGCAUGUCAGAUGAAUCUAUUUAUUGGGAAGGCCUAACAUCUCUAAAGCAUCUAACAGUUCUAUCUUUGAGCCAAAACCAUUUAACGGUGUUGCCUUCUGAAUUGGGUGCUCUGAGUUCCUUGAAGCAUCUUAGUAUCUCAAACAACAAGUUGAAUUGCCUCCCAGUUGAAAUUGGACUCCUCAUUCAGCUGGAGGUUUUGAAAGCCAACAAUAACAGGUAUUGCUUAGAUAAAGUUUAUAGAUGAAUAUUUGUUGUAAGAAUUACUCUUAAAUGGAAGAUUGUUCAAGAAAGUGAUUUGAGACGUAGAAUGGGUACUCCAGAAUAUACCAAGACUAUUACUUAGGAAAUAAGUAAUUGCUAGUGAAAUUGUUUCUACUCUCUUUGGUUCUCCUCUGGUGCCUGCUUUAUUUCUGGUAGGAAUAUUUUAGCAGUCUAUGAUCUACUCAUUGCUGUGACUCAGGAUGUGCACCAUUCCAACAUCUAUAGGGGAGUGUAAUUCCCUUGUUGAGGUAAGAUUCUUACUGAAUUUUUUCAUCUUUCCCCUCUUCAAAGUCUAUUUUUGAAUUGAUAAUUUCUCCAAUAAAAGUGAAUGAUUCCGCUAUUAUUUGCCAAUCUGGGUGUAAGUUUUAUUUCGCCUUGUUUUUUUAAGUUUUAUUUCGCCUCGUUUUUUCCCCUUCCUGUUAUGCAGCAUAUUUAUUAAUGUCCUUUACCAAUCCUUUUGUGGUAUAGGUUAAUCUUUCAUCAAAUCUUCUGACAGAAUUGCCGGAGUCAUUUGGCAAUUUGCAUAAUUUGAAGGUCUCUACUUUAUUUCUCUAUUUGAUGUUCCUAUACCGAAGUUAAAAAUAAUACUCCAACUGGUAACCAUACAACCAAGUAAGAGAUUGAUGAUAGCAAAGAGAUUGAUGAUAGCAACUUUAGGAAUUCCUUUAUAUAGACAUUUCAAUUUUCAACUUGCUAGAGACAGGUCAGCAAGGAAAAACAUUCGUACUUUUCCAACUAGUGAUACGGUUGUUGCUCUUCUCUUACUCCUGUGCAGGCUUUGUACCUAGGUAAUAAUGGGUUAAAGUCUCUUCCUUCUGGAUUAUUCAAGAUGUGCCUGCAACUCUCAACACUUGAUCUCCAUAACGCAGAAAUCACGAUGGAUAUUCUUCGUCAGUUUGAAGGAUGGGAAGAUUUUGAUGAACGCCGUCGCUCAAAGCAUCAGAAGCAACUGGAUUUCCGAGUUGUGGGCUCUGCUGAAUUUGAUGAAGGUGCUGAUAAAAAUUGAUGAUCUGGUUCUGGGGUUACAUUUGGCACUAGAACAAAUUAUUGGCUCAAGAUUGUUUUCUUAUACAUGGCACAAUUUUGUUCUAGAUCCUGAUGUAAAUUGAUUAUGCUUUGAUUGAGUUGCGAGUAGCGUGUAUGCUGAUGGUGUCCAAUUACCCGAAUUGUUCAAGUCACAUUGUUUAGCAAUAUGUGACUAAUUUCUUGUCACUGUCUCUCCGAUUUUACUAACCUUCUCUAGACUUCAUCAAUCUAGACUUUGGUCUAUCAUGAUUCAAGACACAGAUAUGUGAGUAUUAUGCUUUUUACAUAUGGACAUGUUUGUGUCUUAAGUUUAGAUAAAAAUUUUUCAUAUUUUUGGUCCAAUCCUUAACCUGAGGGAGCAGUAUCUAUUAUGGAGUUCCAGUGAAGGCACAAGUUAUCUUGAUGAACCUGAAGCAGUUAGCUCUUCCAGAGAAUCUAAGUUUUAUGAAAUUUUUCAUAAAUUUGCUGUGUGACCCAAACAUUACAGAGAUUAAUUUUCAGAAU